UACAGAGGUCUCAAGCGUUGUUCGGAUUCAUUGGGCGUAAAGGGCGCGUAGGCGGGAUGGCAAGUCGGUCGUGAAAUCCCUCGGCUCAACUGAGGAUCGUCGAUCGAUACUGCCGUUCUUGAGGAUUGCAGAGGAGACUGGAAUUCCCGGUGUAGCGGUGAAAUGUGUAGAGAUCUGGAGGAACACCGGUGGCGAAGGCGACAUCCUGGACCGGUAUUGACGCUGAGGCGCGAAAGCCAGGGGAGCAAACGGG
This 253-nucleotide ribosomal RNA is filed under the name uncultured bacterium. RNAcentral's name for it is "partial 16S ribosomal RNA". It matches the Rfam family "Bacterial small subunit ribosomal RNA", at positions 524 to 776 of the family's 1533-position model. The record is from RNAcentral.